RNAcentral lists this microRNA precursor (168 nucleotides) under Oryza rufipogon (brownbeard rice). RNAcentral's name for it is "MIR812 microRNA precursor family". It matches the Rfam family "MIR812 microRNA precursor family", at positions 1 to 156 of the family's 205-position model. Lineage: Eukaryota; Viridiplantae; Streptophyta; Magnoliopsida; Poales; Poaceae. The record is from Rfam by way of RNAcentral.
UUUAAGUGCAACCAUAAGUUUUCGCGCCCAAUUUUGAUCGUCCGUCUUAUUUGAAAAUUUUUUAUAAUUAGUAUUUUUGUUGUUAUGUGAUGAUAAAACAUGAAUAGUGCUUUACUCGUGACUUAUGUUUUUAAUUUUUUUUCAAAUAAGAUGUUGGUCANNNNNNNN